CCCUUAGAUGUUCUGGGCCGCACGCGCGCUACACUGAUGCAUUCAACGAGUCUAAAACCUGCUCUGAUAGGGGUGGGUAAUCUUUUGAAUGUGCAUCGUGAUUGGGAUAGAUGAUUGCAAUUUUUCAUCUUCAACGAGGAAUGCCUAGUAAACGCAAGUCAUCAGCUUGCAUUGAUUACGUCCCUGCCCUUUGUACACACCGCCCGUCGCUCCUACCGAUUGAAUGAUCCGAUGAAUAUCAUGGAUUGAGGAUGCAAGCAGGUUCGCCUGUCUUCAUCUUUGAGAAGUGAAGUAAAUCUUAUCAUUUAGAGGAAGGAGAAGUCGUAACA
RNAcentral lists this ribosomal RNA (329 nucleotides) under uncultured eukaryote. RNAcentral describes it as "partial 18S ribosomal RNA". It matches the Rfam family "Eukaryotic small subunit ribosomal RNA", at positions 1470 to 1796 of the family's 1831-position model. The record is from RNAcentral.